UUUGCUACCAUAGCGGCAGUCAGACAGACCCUGACCAGAGAGACAAGCCCACAGACCAGUCUGACAUUGACCUUCUUCGCCGCUAUAUCACCAAACAUUUCCCAGGCCUCAUCCCUGAGCCGGCCCUGGUGGAGAGCUGCAUGUACACGGUAACACCUGAUCAUCAUUUUGUGCUGGACUGCCACCCUGCUUACGACAAUAUUGUAAUUGGUGCAGGAUUCUCAGGUCACGGCUUCAAGUUUGGACCCGUCGUCGGCAAGCUGCUCUGUGAACUCAGCCUGGGAGAGGUGCCCUCCUAUGACCUUUCACCUUUCAGAAUAGCACGCUUCCAGACAAUCAUCAAGUCACCCUUGUAGAAAGGACUGUCCUCCAUAUUUCAUGUGAUCAUCCAUCUCAUCUGAGAGAAAUCAACUUGCCUUAUGUCCAUCAACCGUGCAAGACUUCUUGGGGAAGGCCGAUCUUUCCAAAGAUUGAACUAUUAGUGAAAUGAAUGAAUGAAUGACUAUGAUUUAGGAUGUGAAUAGCUGAAGGAAGAAAAGUUUCAUUCAGAUCCACUUGUUAAAUGAAGAGGUUCAGCAUUAAGGUAGCAAAGUGUUAUGAUUGACUUCUUUUUUUUUGACAUGAAAUUGACUUUUUGCCUGACUCUGAUUCAGUGCACUCAACUUUUUUGAAGUUGUCUCAUUUUUGUAAACCACAAUCAACUCCAUGCUUGAUUAGAGAUGGGAAUUAAUACGAGCUUUCCGGUUGGGAUUCCACUUUCAA
Molecule: long non-coding RNA, 762 nt
Organism: Nerophis ophidion (straightnose pipefish)
Lineage: Eukaryota; Metazoa; Chordata; Actinopteri; Syngnathiformes; Syngnathidae
Exons: 3
Source: RefSeq, a predicted model, not a curated record